Salvelinus fontinalis (brook trout) is the source of this 238-nucleotide long non-coding RNA. RefSeq lists it as uncharacterized. The transcript is spliced from 3 exons. NCBI's taxonomy places the organism in Eukaryota, Metazoa, Chordata, Actinopteri, Salmoniformes, Salmonidae. The record is from RefSeq and is a predicted model, not a curated record.
AGUGAAAGGUGAAGAGGUGAGAGGUCAGGAGGUGUUACCUGUACGUCAGUGAAAGGUAAAGAGGUGAGAGGUCAGGAGGUGUUACCUGUACUCAGUGAAAGGUGAAGAGGUGAGAGGUCAGGAGGUGUUACCUGUACGUCAGUGAAAGGUGAGAGGUCAGGAGGUGUUACCUGUACGUCAGUGAAAGGUGAGAGGUCAGGAGGUGUUACCUGUACGUCAGUGAAAGGUGAGAGGUCAG